Molecule: ribosomal RNA, 1633 nt
Filed under: Salmonella enterica
Lineage: Bacteria; Pseudomonadati; Pseudomonadota; Gammaproteobacteria; Enterobacterales; Enterobacteriaceae
Description: partial 23S ribosomal RNA
Rfam family: Bacterial large subunit ribosomal RNA
Source: RNAcentral
CAUGCACCGAAGCUGCGGCAGCGACACUGUGUGUUGUUGGGUAGGGGAGCGUUCUGUAAGCCUGCGAAGGUGGCCUGUGAGGGUUGCUGGAGGUAUCAGAAGUGCGAAUGCUGACAUAAGUAACGAUAAAGCGGGUGAAAAGCCCGCUCGCCGGAAGACCAAGGGUUCCUGUCCAACGUUAAUCGGGGCAGGGUGAGUCGACCCCUAAGGCGAGGCCGAAAGGCGUAGUCGAUGGGAAACGGGUUAAUAUUCCCGUACUUGGUGUUACUGCGAAGGGGGGACGGAGAAGGCUAUGUUGGCCGGGCGACGGUUGUCCCGGUUUAAGCGUGUAGGUGUGUGUUCCAGGUAAAUCCGGUUCACUUUAACACUGAGGCGUGACGACGAGGCACUACGGUGCUGAAGCAACAAAUGCCCUGCUUCCAGGAAAAGCCUCUAAGCAUCAGGUAACAUCAAAUCGUACCCCAAACCGACACAGGUGGUCAGGUAGAGAAUACCAAGGCGCUUGAGAGAACUCGGGUGAAGGAACUAGGCAAAAUGGUGCCGUAACUUCGGGAGAAGGCACGCUGACACGUAGGUGAAGUGAUUUACUCAUGGAGCUGAAGUCAGUCGAAGAUACCAGCUGGCUGCAACUGUUUAUUAAAAACACAGCACUGUGCAAACACGAAAGUGGACGUAUACGGUGUGACGCCUGCCCGGUGCCGGAAGGUUAAUUGAUGGGGUCAGCGCAAGCGAAGCUCCUGAUCGAAGCCCCGGUAAACGGCGGCCGUAACUAUAACGGUCCUAAGGUAGCGAAAUUCCUUGUCGGGUAAGUUCCGACCUGCACGAAUGGCGUAAUGAUGGCCAGGCUGUCUCCACCCGAGACUCAGUGAAAUUGAACUCGCUGUGAAGAUGCAGUGUACCCGCGGCAAGACGGAAAGACCCCGUGAACCUUUACUAUAGCUUGACACUGAACAUUGAGCCUUGAUGUGUAGGAUAGGUGGGAGGCUUUGAAGUGUGGACGCCAGUCUGCAUGGAGCCGACCUUGAAAUACCACCCUUUAAUGUUUGAUGUUCUAACGUGGACCCGUUACCCGGGUUGCGGACAGUGUCUGGUGGGUAGUUUGACUGGGGCGGUCUCCUCCUAAAGAGUAACGGAGGAGCACGAAGGUUGGCUAAUCCUGGUCGGACAUCAGGAGGUUAGUGCAAUGGCAUAAGCCAGCUUGACUGCGAGCGUGACGGCGCGAGCAGGUGCGAAAGCAGGUCAUAGUGAUCCGGUGGUUCUGAAUGGAAGGGCCAUCGCUCAACGGAUAAAAGGUACUCCGGGGAUAACAGGCUGAUACCGCCCAAGAGUUCAUAUCGACGGCGGUGUUUGGCACCUCGAUGUCGGCUCAUCACAUCCUGGGGCUGAAGUAGGUCCCAAGGGUAUGGCUGUUCGCCAUUUAAAGUGGUACGCGAGCUGGGUUUAGAACGUCGUGAGACAGUUCGGUCCCUAUCUGCCGUGGGCGCUGGAGAACUGAGGGGGGCUGCUCCUAGUACGAGAGGACCGGAGUGGACGCAUCACUGGUGUUCGGGUUGUCAUGCCAAUGGCACUGCCCGGUAGCUAAAUGCGGAAGAGAUAAGUGCUGAAAGCAUCUAAGCACGAAACUUGCCCCGAG